Molecule: ribosomal RNA, 430 nt
Filed under: Pseudomonadota bacterium
Lineage: Bacteria; Pseudomonadati; Pseudomonadota
Description: Proteobacteria bacterium partial 16S ribosomal RNA
Rfam family: Bacterial small subunit ribosomal RNA
Source: RNAcentral
UGGGGAAUAUUGGACAAUGGGCGCAAGCCUGAUCCAGCCAUGCCGCGUGUGUGAAGAAGGCCUUAUGGUUGUAAAGCACUUUAAGCGAGGAGGAGGCUACUUUAGUUAAUACCUAGAGAUAGUGGACGUUACUCGCAGAAUAAGCACCGGCUAACUCUGUGCCAGCAGCCGCGGUAAUACAGAGGGUGCAAGCGUUAAUCGGAUUUACUGGGCGUAAAGCGCGCGUAGGCAGCUAAUUAAGUCAAAUGUGAAAUCCCCGAGCUUAACUUGGGAAUUGCAUUCGAUACUGGUUAGCUAGAGUGUGGGAGAGGAUGGUAGAAUUCCAGGUGUAGCGGUGAAAUGCGUAGAGAUCUGGAGGAAUACCGAUGGCGAAGGCAGCCAUCUGGCCUAACACUGACGCUGAGGUGCGAAAGCAUGGGGAGCAAACAGG